ACAGGGAGCCGUGCCGAGUUUAGAACAGCUUGCCACAAGGGCUCUGUUCCCCAAAUCCUGCAGGAAAACCUUGCCUUAAGAGAUCCCAAAUCCCUAAAUUCACUGGAGCUGCACAAGUGAAAGAAAAGGGAUCCAUUCCUAGUUUAGAACAGCUCUCCACAAGGGUUUUGUUCCCCUAGUCCUGCAGAGAAACGUUGCCUUAAGAGAUUCCAAAUCCCUAAAUUCGCUGGAGCUGCACAGGUGAAAGAAAAGAGAUCCAUUCCUUCAUUGAAGUCAUUUCUCCACAAGGAUUUUGUUCCCAAAGUCCUGCAGACAAACAUUGCCUUAAGAGAUCCCAAAUUCAUAAAUUCACUGGAGCUGCACAGGUGAAAGAAAAGGGAUCCAUUCCUUCAUUGAAGUCAUUUCUCCACAAGGAUUUUGUUCCCAAGUCCUGCAGGAAAACGUUGCCUUAAGAGAUCCCAAAUCCCUAAAUUGACUGAAGCUACACAGGUGAAAAAAUGGGAAUAAAUUCCUAAUUUAGAA
Haemorhous mexicanus (house finch) is the source of this 522-nucleotide long non-coding RNA. RefSeq lists it as uncharacterized. Lineage: Eukaryota; Metazoa; Chordata; Aves; Passeriformes; Fringillidae. The record is from RefSeq and is a predicted model, not a curated record. The transcript has 2 exons.